This 253-nucleotide ribosomal RNA is filed under the name uncultured bacterium. RNAcentral's name for it is "partial 16S ribosomal RNA". It matches the Rfam family "Bacterial small subunit ribosomal RNA", at positions 524 to 776 of the family's 1533-position model. The record is from RNAcentral.
GACGAACCGUGCGAACGUUGUUCGGAUUCACUGGGCUUAAAGGGCGCGUAGGCGGGCUGCCAAGUCAGGGGUGAAAGCUCCCGGCCCAACCGGGAAAGGGCCUUUGAUACUGGCGGCCUCGAGGGAGGUAGGGGCACGCGGAACUUCCGGUGGAGCGGUGAAAUGCGUAGAUAUCGGAAGGAACGCCGGUGGCGAAAGCGGCGUGCUGGACCUCUGCUGACGCUGAGGCGCGAAAGCCAGGGGAGCGAACGGG